UACAGAGGUAGCAAACGUUGUCCGGAUUCACUGGGCGUAAAGGGAUCGUAGGCGGUCAUUUAAGUCAAGUGUGAAAUCGUUCAGCUCAACUGAACAAUCGCAUUUGAUACUGAUUGGCUUGAGUGCAGAAGGGGAAACUGGAAUUUCCGGUGUAGCGGUGAAAUGCGUAGAUAUCGGAAAGAACACCCGUGGCGAAGGCGGGUUUCUGGUCUGCAACUGACGCUGAGGAUCGAAAGCUAGGGGAGCAAACGGG
This 253-nucleotide ribosomal RNA is filed under the name uncultured bacterium. Its description in RNAcentral is "partial 16S ribosomal RNA". It matches the Rfam family "Bacterial small subunit ribosomal RNA", at positions 524 to 776 of the family's 1533-position model. The record is from RNAcentral.